This 459-nucleotide ribosomal RNA is filed under the name uncultured bacterium. Its description in RNAcentral is "partial 16S ribosomal RNA". It matches the Rfam family "Bacterial small subunit ribosomal RNA", at positions 338 to 795 of the family's 1533-position model. The record is from RNAcentral.
CCUACGGGAGGCAGCAGUGAGGAAUAUUGGUCAAUGGCCGGAAGUCUGAAUCAGCCAAGCCGCGUGAAGGACGACGGUGCCAAGCAUUGUAAACUUCUUUUGUCAAGGGACAAAAUCAGGCUCGAGAGCCUGACCGUGUGUACUUGAAGAAAAAGCAUCGGCUAACUCCGUGCCAGCAGCCGCGGUAAUACGGAGGAUGCGAGCGUUAUCCGGAUUUAUUGGGUUUAAAGGGUGCGUAGGCGGGCUGUUAAGUCAGCGGUAAAAGCCCGGGGCUCAACCCAGGCGAGCCGUUGAAACUGGCUGUCUUGAGAUGUCGAGAGGUAUGCGGAAUGCGCAGUGUAGCGGUGAAAUGCUUAGAUAUCGCGAAGAACUCCGAUUGCGAAGGCAGCAUACCGGCGGCGAUCUGACGCUGAGGCACGAAAGCGUGGGUAUCGAACAGGAUUAGAUACCCGAGUAGUC